GACGAACGCUGGCGGCGUGCUUAACACAUGCAAGUCGAACGAAGUGGCGAACGGGGGAGUAAUACGUGGGUAACCUGCCCUACUUUUUGGGAUAAGCCUUGGAAACGGGGUCUAAUACCGAAUAAAGGGGGAUGGGCUCGCGGCCUAUCAGCUUGUUGGUGGGGUGAUGGCCUACCAAGGCGGGGACGGGUAGCCAGGCUGUGCGGGUGAACUGCCACAGUGGGACGGAGCUACGGCCCAGAGUCGUAAGCGGGGCAGCAGUGGGGGAUAUUGCACAAUGGGCGAAAGCCUGAUGCAGCGUCGCCGAGUGGGGGAUGAAGGCUUUAGAGUUGUAAACCUCUGUCGGUACCGAAAGGGUAGGUGGCGAAGAAGCGCCGGCUAACUACGUGCCAGCAGCCGCGGUAAUUC
This 408-nucleotide ribosomal RNA is filed under the name uncultured bacterium. RNAcentral describes it as "partial 16S ribosomal RNA". It matches the Rfam family "Bacterial small subunit ribosomal RNA", at positions 28 to 526 of the family's 1533-position model. The record is from RNAcentral.